Sinocyclocheilus grahami is the source of this 221-nucleotide long non-coding RNA. RefSeq lists it as uncharacterized. Lineage: Eukaryota; Metazoa; Chordata; Actinopteri; Cypriniformes; Cyprinidae. The transcript is spliced from 3 exons. The record is from RefSeq and is a predicted model, not a curated record.
UCGAAAGUUAUGCUGCACCGGCGCAGUGGGAGUCGCGAUUUUGGUAACUGCGCGCGCACGCACGCACUGCGACGCUUUUGUUUAUUAGAUUCGUCCAUUCAUCCUGCGCGAGAGGGUGGUGGCUGAACCCGCGUCAGUGCAGGAAAGACGAGCCACUGUUCGCAAUGUUAUGAUGUUUGAGUUUGUACUGUGAAUUAUCACUAGAAGCCAUUAAACAAUGG